GCCGCAGUAGCUCAACGGCAGAGCAAUCGCUUCGUAAGCGAUAGGUUGACGGUUCAAAUCCGCCCUGCGGCACCA
This 75-nucleotide transfer RNA is filed under the name Alphaproteobacteria bacterium. Its description in RNAcentral is "tRNA-Thr". It matches the Rfam family "tRNA". Rfam says of the family: Transfer RNA (tRNA) molecules are approximately 80 nucleotides in length. Their secondary structure includes four short double-helical elements and three loops (D, anti-codon, and T loops). Further hydrogen bonds mediate the characteristic L-shaped molecular structure. tRNAs have two regions of fundamental functional importance: the anti-codon, which is responsible for specific mRNA codon recognition, and the 3' end, to which the tRNAs corresponding amino acid is attached (by aminoacyl-tRNA synthetases). tRNAs cope with the degeneracy of the genetic code in two manners: having more than one tRNA (with a specific anti-codon) for a particular amino acid; and 'wobble' base-pairing, i.e. permitting non-standard base-pairing at the 3rd anti-codon position. RNAcentral also lists the same sequence under 1 other name. Lineage: Bacteria; Pseudomonadati; Pseudomonadota; Alphaproteobacteria. The record is from RNAcentral.